UUUGACCUCGUAUUGGGCCAGAAAGGGGGCUAAUCCUUAGGUUCUUAAUUGGGAUCUGGAAUGAAUGAGUGAAUAAGGGGGGUCUGUCUAUCAAUAGAGUUUGAAAUUAAAUUUUUAGUAAGAAUGCUAGAAUGAUUCAGUGGGACGAUAAGACCCUAUAAAGCUUUACUAACCUUUAGUAAAAAUUUUUACUACUUUUAUGAAGAGGUUUAGUUUUNCUGGGGCCGGUAGUUAUCAAAUUAAGUUAUUUUCAUUUUCUGUGGGGCCCNCAUUUGGGGAGAAUUAAGNNAAUGUGACAUUAGGGGUAUCAGCGCAUUAUANCUCUGGGAGUUAUAUCGAAGAGAUGAGUGUGACACUCGAUGUUGAAUUAACCUUAUUGUAAGGGGAAGAAGCUUUACGAGUUAGUCUGUUCGACUAUUAAAGGGUUACGUGAUUUGAGUUCAAACCGGUUUAAGCCAGGUUGGUUUCUAUUUACUGGAUUUAAAAAAUUUUUUAGUACGAAAGGACCAGAGAUUUUAGAUUUUUUAUUUAAUAUCGUUUUGGCCUUUUUAGGUCUUU
Molecule: ribosomal RNA, 558 nt
Filed under: Hadrobunus maculosus
Lineage: Eukaryota; Metazoa; Arthropoda; Arachnida; Opiliones; Sclerosomatidae
Description: 16S ribosomal RNA
Rfam family: Bacterial large subunit ribosomal RNA (bases 114-481)
Source: RNAcentral